GACAAUGUUGUGUAGAGGUAUGUGGAAUUCCUAUGCUCUCAUUCUGAUAUCAAUUAAAUGAACUCUUCAGUCUUCUAAAGCCAUUCAACUUGCUGAACUGCUACAUGGGUUAACUCUGUGUAACCAUUAGCUUACCUGUAUUAUAUGACAGUGCCCAUUUCAAGAGAAAUUAGCACUUUAAAAAUCCUGUAAGUGACUCAUUCUGCCUUACUCACAUUGAACUGUAAGUGGCGUAAGUUGGUUGAGGUGUGCGUUGUGCCGAAACCAAAGUUACAAUAAGCCUGAAAGAUAUCAUUAUGUCAUAAAAUUAUAAAGGGUAAUUGAAGAGAACGGAAAGGAGAUUGGACCGACAUGAACUCAUGCUAAAAUACAGAUGGAGAGGGGGAUUUGGUUAAAUAGCCAGCCUAGCCAAAUCCUGGAUACAUCUGUAUUCUGCCUGUCAAACCUUUGAAGACUUGUCCUACAGAAUCCAUAAGAGUUUUUAAAAGAAAUGGUUAUCUGGCAACUCAAGCAUUAAGAAACCUCAGGAAGUUGAGCUAAAAGUUCAUACCUGUAAAUAUAUUCUGCAUCCCUGCUUACCAGACACAGCUAUAUAAUAGUUACAGAACACGUCAUUGUAGUUAAGUAUCAAGUUAGAGAAAAUUACAUUAAUAUUCAUUUUUUUGUUGUUAAUGUUUUCCUUGGAAAUUUAUGUAGAAGCACAGAUCAAAGUGAUAACAAUAAUUUAGCAGUUUUUAUAUCACCUCUCAAGAUGUUAUUACUACAAAAGCUUGCGAAAAAAGCUGCUAUAAAUACAACUUGGCUUUUUUUGGAAAUAGCUACCAAUAUAUUUUUACAGAUCUGUCUGUAAUGUAUCAAAUAGCCUAGGGACAUUUUUCAAGUAAGUAUGCCCCAUCUAUCUUUUUACUAGCAUCACAAUAUUUCCUUAUAUUUGGGCAGAUAUUUAUUAGUUACUUAAAUGCAGCAUUACCUUCACCUGCCCAGAUAAUAAUUAUUGAAUUAUAUCCAGUUCUGACCCUGUUCAUUUUCUCUGAUUAUGUGUAGCCUGUAGUCAUGUGACACAGUUAGAUUGCACAGUCAAAUUGAAAGGUUUUGUUGCUAUAGCAACACAAGAAUCUAUGUGAUGCUUUGUUCUUAGUUGUAAUGACAAUAAAACCAAGUAAGAUCUUUUGAAGUUAAUUUUUUGUUUACUUAGACUAGCACCUGUAAUAUUUUAGGAUGGGUUUUGUUAAUGGAGGAUACGCAAAUAAAAUGACCAUGUGUUCUACACCUGUAAGGUUAGUUGGAUGUCUCUUCCAAAAGUCUCCAGUGCAUUUUAUCAGGGGUGUUGAACCAUGAACCCUCCACACAUGCAUCCAUAAUUCUCUGCACAGCUAUAACUGACAAAGAAUUAUGUGAAGUAUAGCCGAAUAAUAUCUAAUCAUAUUUUAAAGCAAGUAGUAGUUGAGUAUCCAAAGGAACACUCUGAGCACCUUAAAGGAACACUAUAAGGUCAGGAACACAGACAUGUAUUCCUUGCCCUAUAGUGCUAAACCCACCAUUUAGGUGGCUUGCCCCCUCUUAGCCCUCCUAUAAAAGUUUAAAACUUACCCUAUUUCCAGCGCCUCGCAGGUCUGCCAGCAUUGGCUUCGCCCCCUUUGUGACAUCAUCAAAGUGGCAGAUAUAUAGCCAAUCCAAUGCUUUCCCUGUGGGAAAGCAUUGGAUUGGCAAAAAUCGGCACAAGGGCGGGGCCAAAUGCCGUUUUGGCCAAUCAGGACCUCCUCAUAGAGAUGCAUUGAAUCAAUGCAUCUCUAUGAGGAAAAUUCAGCGUCUACAUGCAGAGCGUGGGGACGCUGAACGUCAGGGCUGCUUUUUUGGCAGCACUGACCCAGGAAGCACCAUCUAAGGAGUGGCCACUUGGAGGUGUCCCUAGAGGCAAUGUAAACACUGCCUUUUCUCUGAAAAGGCAGUGUUUGCAAGAAAAGUUGUUUUGGUGCCUGGAUCAUUCCUUUAAGCAGACUAGCUAUUUUUAAAGACUUGAACCUAACCUCGUACUAUUUAGGCUGUUAGUUGGAUACAUUUCUUCACUAUGCUCAGAGAAAUGAGAGAGGUAAAUGUAUUUAAAGGAACACUAUAGUUUCAGGAAUACAAACAGGUAUUCCUUACACCAUAGGACUAAAUACCUGUUUAGGCUACCGGCCCCUACUUACCUCUGGUUAAAAAGAUUAUUUACUUUCCUUUUUCCAGUGCCACGUGUGUCUGUUUGCGACUGGCCACGCCCACGCUUCACCCCCUUGGCUGAGAUCAGCAAUCUUGAUGAUCUCAGCCACUCCAAUGCUUUCCCAUAGGGGUAGGGAGACUAUGGUGCAUGCACGGCAAAAUGCCAUUCUGCACCAAUCAGCAUCUCCUCACAGAGAUGCAUUGACUCAAUGAAUAUCAAUGGGGUAAGUUCAGCACCUCCAUGAAGAGUGUCCCUUUAAUAAGCAAGCAUACAACAGUCAGAAACAUAGUAUUUCAGGAGUACUGCUGCAAUUUUGAAAUGUAAUCUAUGAUAUGCCUCCACCAAAUACUACUUUAAUAACUAACAAUGAAUAACUUACAGCCAAUGAUCACAUGGCCAAACAAUCCAUAGCACAUCCAUUCCCUCUGCAGUCAGUUGUAUGGAUCUUAUUCAAAUGUAGGCCUUACUAGAUCAAUAGCCAUUUUAUAAUCACCUUAAUCAGCAAUGAUGUGAUAUGUUCAUUACUAUACUAGAUCUGAUAUCAAAAGGCUUUAAAAUAGUUCCUUAAUGUCAGCCUAUGGAUCAUGUGUGCCCACACUUUGCAAACUUUGCAAAUAUUUGGUAGAAAUAAGAGGCUUUUAUCCAUUGCAUAUGUCUUAGCAGUUUAGUAGAUUGGACAAGAAUAUCGAUGUUUAAUCUGUGCAGACAUAUGUGUGUUUUCUCUUGGCAGGAAAAUAGUUUUAUAUAUAUAUAUAUUUUUUUUGUUCAAAUUGCUUUUUGUUGUUUAUUAUUUUGUCUUAGGCCAAACUUGAAGUUACAAGGACAAGGAUCCCUGAGUACUUUUAGUAAAAUUAAAUUCUAAUGAUUACAUUGCGUCUGACAGUAUGAGGAACUCGAAUUACAAAGACUGUGGACUUUGAUGCAGCGCCAUCUAUUGGUUAAAGGUUGAUUAUGUACUUUUACACUAAGAUUUGCAUAUGUUUCCAUAUUUUGUGAAAUUCAUGCAGAAUGCUCUGGGAUUUGGAUCUUAUACAUUUCCCCUGAUGGUCCGCUGUGUGACAGUUAUGUAUUUUAUUGCACUUGAUUGUUGCCUUUAUGUAUUAUUAUAUGUAAAUGUUUCAUGCACUGUUUUGAAUAUAUCACAAUACGUUAAAAGUAGAAUUGUUGAAGGUUAGUCCCAGUUUAAAAAAUAAAGAAAUAAGUGUCUGAAUGUGUUUCUUUCCAGGAGCCGUAAGACCUGCAGUCAGAGAGCUCGGUCUCAGAGCUAAAAAGCAUCUUUACUAAAAUGGUGCUUAAUGUUGUCAGAGGGAUCGAUUCCUGUCUAACCAGAAAGAGCGAGCAAAGGGAUUGGUUCUGCUUUGAAGAAGGAGCGGACAGAGGGAUCAAAUCCUGUCUUAGCAGAAGGGGCAGAGAGAUAGAUUCCUGUCUGGAAGAGGGAGCAGGCAGCUGGUUAUAUUCCUGUCUGGAGGAGGGAGCGGGCAGCGGGACCGAAUCCUGUCUUCGCAGAAGUAGUGGGCAGAGAGAUAGAUUCCUGUUUCAGCAGAGGGAUUGGAUCCUGCCUUAGCAGAAGGAGUGGGCAGAGGGAUCGGAUCCUGUCUUAGCAGAAGGAGCGGGCAGAGAGAUAUAUUCCUGUCUGGAAGAGGGAGCUGGCAGCUGGAUAGACUCCUGUCUGGAGGAGGGCACAGGGACCGAAUCUUGUCUUAGCAGAAGUAGCGGGCAGAGAGAUAGAUUCCUGUCUGGAAGAGUGAGUGGGCAGAGGGAUCAAAUCCUGUCUUAGCAGAAGGAGCAGGUAGACCCGGAUACUUUUCUGCUUACGUGCUGACGUCAUAUGCUAUAUUUGUGAUACAUGCUUCUAGCUCCGACAGUACACCAGGUUAUUUUUCUAUAGAUAUAUACUGAUGUUAUAUGCUCUAUUUGUGAGGCAAGCUACUAGCUACGGCUGUACACCCGGACAUUUUCCUAUAUACGCUGAUGUUCUAAUGGUGUUGUACAUCCGGAUACUUUUUUAUAUAUAUGCUGAUGGUCAACGUUCUAUUUGUGAUGCAUGCUUUUAGCCCUGACAGUACACCCGAAUAUUUUUUCUUUAUAUACGCUGAUGUUACAUGUUACAUUUGUGAUGCAUGCUUCUAGCUCCGACAGAAUGCCCAUAAACCCACACACAUAUACGCAAGAGUCUAGAACAGCAAUGAGACAUGCCGGGUCAGACGCCCACACAUCCUGGGAAACCACAACCGAG
Molecule: non-coding RNA, 4436 nt
Organism: Pelobates cultripes (western spadefoot toad)
Lineage: Eukaryota; Metazoa; Chordata; Amphibia; Anura; Pelobatidae
Source: the annotation of a GenBank genome assembly